This 168-nucleotide ribosomal RNA is filed under the name Polyporales sp. Its description in RNAcentral is "partial large subunit ribosomal RNA". It matches the Rfam family "Eukaryotic large subunit ribosomal RNA", at positions 100 to 261 of the family's 3401-position model. Lineage: Eukaryota; Fungi; Basidiomycota; Agaricomycetes; Polyporales. The record is from RNAcentral.
GGGAAAAGCUCAAAUUUUAAAUCUGCUAGGUUUUACCUGUCAGAAUUGUAAUUUGAAGAAGCGUCUUCUGUGUUGGACCGUGUACAAGUCUCUUGGAACAGGGCGUCAUAGAGGGUGAGAAUCCCGUCUUUGACACGGUCUACCAAUGCUUUGUGAUGCGCUCUUAAA